This 858-nucleotide ribosomal RNA is filed under the name uncultured Capnocytophaga sp. Its description in RNAcentral is "bacterial SSU rRNA". It matches the Rfam family "Bacterial small subunit ribosomal RNA", at positions 72 to 935 of the family's 1533-position model. The record is from RNAcentral. Lineage: Bacteria; Pseudomonadati; Bacteroidota; Flavobacteriia; Flavobacteriales; Flavobacteriaceae.
GAAGCCCUUCGGGGCAGAAACCGGCGCACGGGUGCGUAACGCGUAUGCAACCUACCUUUUACAGGGGGAUAGCCCGAAGAAAUUUGGAUUAAUACCCCAUAACAUUACGAGAUGGCAUCAUUUUGUAAUUAAAACUACGGUGGUAGAAGAUGGGCAUGCGUUCUAUUAGCUAGUUGGAGUGGUAACGGCACCCCAAGGCUACGAUAGAUAGGGGUCCUGAGAGGGAGAUCCCCCACACUGGUACUGAGACAGGGACCAGACUCCUACGGGAGGCAGCAGUGAGGAAUAUUGGUCAAUGGUCGGAAGACUGAACCAGCCAUGCCGCGUGCAGGAAGAAUGCCUUAUGGGUUGUAAACUGCUUUUGUAAGGGAAGAAUAAGGGGUACGUGUACCUUGAUGACGGUACCUUACGAAUAAGCAUCGGCUAACUCCGUGCCAGCAGCCGCGGUAAUACGGAGGAUGCGAGCGUUAUCCGGAAUCAUUGGGUUUAAAGGGUCUGUAGGCGGGCUAUUAAGUCAGGGGUGAAAGGUUUCAGCUUAACUGAGAAAUUGCCUUUGAUACUGGUAGUCUUGAAUAUCUGUGAAGUUCUUGGAAUGUGUAGUGUAGCGGUGAAAUGCUUAGAUAUUACACAGAACACCGAUUGCGAAGGCAGGGGACUAACAGACGAUUGACGCUGAGAGACGAAAGCGUGGGGAGCGAACAGGAUUAGAUACCCUGGUAGUCCACGCUGUAAACGAUGGAUACUAGCUGUUUGGUGAUAAGCUGAGUGGCUAAGCGAAAGUGAUAAGUAUCCCACCUGGGGAGUACGCACGCAAGUGUGAAACUCAAAGGAAUUGACGGGGGCCCGCACAAGCGGUGG